RNAcentral lists this ribosomal RNA (253 nucleotides) under uncultured bacterium. Its description in RNAcentral is "partial 16S ribosomal RNA". It matches the Rfam family "Bacterial small subunit ribosomal RNA", at positions 524 to 776 of the family's 1533-position model. The record is from RNAcentral.
UACGAAGGGGGCGAGCGUUGUUCGGAUUUACUGGGCGUAAAGGGCGCGCAGGCGGCCAUUCAAGUCAGGCGUGAAAGCCCCGGGCUUAACCUGGGAGGUGCGUCUGGGACUGGGUGGCUGGAGAUCGGGAGAGGAGAGUGGAAUUCCCGGUGUAGCGGUGAAAUGCGCAGAUAUCGGGAAGAACACCCGUGGCGAAGGCGGCUCUCUGGGACGGUACUGACGCUGAGACGCGAAAGCGUGGGGAGCGAACAGG